Molecule: long non-coding RNA, 709 nt
Organism: Tripterygium wilfordii
Lineage: Eukaryota; Viridiplantae; Streptophyta; Magnoliopsida; Celastrales; Celastraceae
Exons: 3
Source: RefSeq, a predicted model, not a curated record
UCAAGAGUCAAGACUCGCGAGGAGGUUGCGAGAGACGAUCAUGGAUGGCUCACAGUUUCAGCUUUCGGACGAGACAAAUCGGAGCCAACGAUUGCAGUUCUAAGCACGACGUUUCGUGGGUCUGAGGGGUUUCGAUAUCAAACAAGCAAUGUAAAACAACCGGAUAAUACUCUGAUUAGACCAAGAAAAUGUUCUUAUUAGCUUUUCAGUGUUAAGGGAUAUCUAAGAACAAUCUCUCCUCAACUGCAAACUAUGAAGAAACUGAAGCAUGAGAGGCUAAAGGUUUUGCAUUUGAGGCUCAUUGUCCAUCGAUAUAUGUCAAUUUGGAACCCAAUAUUAACAAGUCCAACAAAAUGGGGUCAGGUGGGAGCAUGGAAGGAAUAGAUCCAAAGAAUCCUCAAGGCGCAUGCCAAACUCCUUUGUAUAUUGGACCUCGUGAAUUGCACGUGCCACUUUAACACUAUUAUGUGUGGUUUUAUUUGGACAUGUUCAUGUGCCAAAGCUUCAAUGAUGGUUUCAACUUCGAAGAUAUGAGGGAUCUAUAUAUAUAUAUAUAUAUAUAUAAAGCAUGCACAUGCAUGUAUUUAUGGACCCAUGUUACCUAUUCCAAAUACAUUGUACGUAGGUCAUAUAUCAAUUGAUGUACCAUUCAAAGUGUUGAUCAAUGCUAAUGAGUGCGUAUGUAUGCAUAUGCCUAUUCAUGUGGUAA